RNAcentral lists this ribosomal RNA (791 nucleotides) under uncultured Flavobacteriaceae bacterium. RNAcentral's name for it is "bacterial SSU rRNA". It matches the Rfam family "Bacterial small subunit ribosomal RNA", at positions 56 to 839 of the family's 1533-position model. Lineage: Bacteria; Pseudomonadati; Bacteroidota; Flavobacteriia; Flavobacteriales; Flavobacteriaceae. The record is from RNAcentral.
UGCAGUCGAGGGGUAACAGGGUUUGCUUGCAAACCGCUGACGACCGGCGCACGGGUGCGUAACGCGUAUAGAACCUACCUUUUACAGGGAGAUAGCCCGGAGAAAUCCGGAUUAAUAUCCCAUAGUAAUAUUUUACGGCAUCGUAAAAUGUUUAAAGCUACGGUGGUAAAAGAUGGCUAUGCGUCUUAUUAGCUAGUAGGUAAGGUAACGGCUUACCUAGGCAACGAUAAGUAGGGGCCCUGAGAGGGGGAUCCCCCACACUGGUACUGAGACACGGACCAGACUCCUACGGGAGGCAGCAGUGAGGAAUAUUGGACAAUGGGCGCAAGCCUGAUCCAGCCAUGCCGCGUGCAGGAAGACAGCCCUACGGGUUGUAAACUGCUUUUAUACAGGAAGAAUAAGGGACACGUGUGUCCUGGUGACGGUACCGUACGAAUAAGGACCGGCUAACUCCGUGCCAGCAGCCGCGGUAAUACGGAGGGUCCGAGCGUUAUCCGGAAUUAUUGGGUUUAAAGGGUCCGCAGGCGGGCAAUUAAGUCAGGGGUGAAAUGGUGCGGCUCAACCGUAGCACUGCCCUUGAUACUGGUUGUCUUGAGUCAUAGUGAAGUGGCCGGAAUAUGUAGUGUAGCGGUGAAAUGCAUAGAUAUUACAUAGAACACCGAUUGCGAAGGCAGGUCACUAACUAUCGACUGACGCUGAUGGACGAAAGCGUGGGGAGCGAACGGGAUUAGAUACCCCGGUAGUCCACGCCGUAAACGAUGGAUACUAGCUGUCCGGCACUGCAGUCGAGU